Molecule: unclassified non-coding RNA, 522 nt
Filed under: Hevea brasiliensis (rubber tree)
Lineage: Eukaryota; Viridiplantae; Streptophyta; Magnoliopsida; Malpighiales; Euphorbiaceae
Source: RNAcentral
AAAGUAAAUAAAAUUUUGGCCUUUAAUAUGUUGUCUGUUUAUUACACUUAGCCAAGAUUCUAGCACAGCCGAAUUCCUGUUUUUCAAUUCAAGUCUAGCUGGUAAAAAAUGAAAAAGGCAAGAUUGACUCAAGGAUCAAUAACAUUAAUUAGGCCAUUGAACACGGAACACAUAUGCAUUAUCUUUCAACCUACGUUGUACUACACCUUCCACAGUAUUGUUCAAAAAUAUAAAAGCCAUUAAAUCCUCAUGUCUUAUCCCUCUUCUUCUUUAUCUUAACAUUAGAAGUGUAAAAAUUCAUCUAUGGCACAGAUUUAAUUAGUUCAUUUGCAACUGGGUUUCCAGAAAAUAAUUUGAAAACCCUAAAAAUGAAAAUACUUGUUAAAAUCAAAUAGUUCAUCACCUAUAGCGAGUUUAAAAUAAAACGAAUGGCAUAUAUUUCAAAACCACCUCAAUUUUCCUUCCAUUUCUUCAACAUUUUCCCAGAAACCAAAGAGGGCAAAAGCAAAUAAAUCCUAAUUA